RNAcentral lists this ribosomal RNA (468 nucleotides) under uncultured bacterium. RNAcentral describes it as "partial 16S ribosomal RNA". It matches the Rfam family "Bacterial small subunit ribosomal RNA", at positions 28 to 507 of the family's 1533-position model. The record is from RNAcentral.
GACGAACGCUGGCGGCGUGCUUAACACAUGCAAGUCGAACGGAAAGGCCCUGCUUUUGUGGGGUGCUCGAUUGGCGAACGGGUGAGUAACACGUGAGUAACCUGCCCUUGACUGUGGGAUAACUUCAGGAAACUGGGGCUAAUACCGGAUAGGAUCUCCUGCUGCAUGUUGGGGGUUGGAAAGUUUCGGCGGUUGGGGAUGGACUCGCGGGUUAUCAGCUUGUUGGUGGGGUAGUGGCUUACCAAGGCUUUGACGGGUAGCCGGCCUGAGAGGGUGACCGGCCACAUUGGGCCUGAGAUACGGCCCAGACUGCUACGGGAGGCAGCAGUGGGGAAUAUUGCACAAUGGGCGGAAGCCUGAUGCAGCAACGCCGCGUGCGGGAUGACGGCCUUCGGGUUGUAAACCGCUUUCGCCUGUGACGAAGCGUGAGUGACGGUAAUGGGUAAAGAAGCACCGGCUAACUACGUG